This is a regulatory RNA element of Paenibacillus sp. oral taxon 786, 137 nucleotides long. It matches the Rfam family "c-di-AMP riboswitch aptamer (ydaO/yuaA leader)". From Rfam's summary of the family: This family represents a conserved RNA structure found upstream of the ydaO and yuaA genes in Bacillus subtilis and related genes in other bacteria. The record is from Rfam. Lineage: Bacteria; Bacillati; Bacillota; Bacilli; Caryophanales; Paenibacillaceae.
UGAAAAACAAAGCCGAAUUCCCUUCACCAGGGAAACGGGGGAACCACUUUGGGUGAAUUGAUCUCGCUUUAGAGGGAUCAUAGGGAACCUUCAACCGAAUCCUUAAGCUAACCUCGUAGGCAUUGGAAGGAGCAUAA